Molecule: ribosomal RNA, 445 nt
Filed under: uncultured bacterium
Lineage: Bacteria
Description: partial 16S ribosomal RNA
Rfam family: Bacterial small subunit ribosomal RNA
Source: RNAcentral
GUAGGGAAUAUUGGGCAAUGGAUGCAAGUCUGACCCAGCCAUCCCGCGUGCCGGAAGAAGGCCCUCAGGGUUGUAAACGGCUUUUGACGGUGAAGAACCGACAGGAUGCGUCCUGUUUUGACGGUAGCCGUUGAAUAAGAACCGGCUAACUCUGUGCCAUCAGCCGCGGUAAUACGGAGGGUGCGAGCGUUGUCCGGAUUUAUCGGGUUUAAAGGGCGCGUAGGCUGGUAGGUCAGUCAGCGGUGAAAAGCUGUCGCUUAACGAAAGUCUUGCCGCAGAUACUUGCAUUGUGGGAUGAAGAGGAGGCCACUGGAACGAAUGGUGUAGCGGUGAAAUGCAUAGAUAUCAUCCAGAACACCGAUUACGAAGGCAGGUGGCAGUACCUUAAUCGACGCUGAUGCACAAAAGCAUGGGGAGCAAACAGGAUUAGAAACCCGGGUAGUCC